GUAGGAUGCGAGCGUUGUCCGGAUUUAUUGGGNGUAAAGAGUUNGUAGGCGGUUUGUUAAGUUUNAUGUUAAAGAUCAAGGCUCAACCUUGGGAGUGCAUUGAAUACUGGCAGACUUGAGUGCAGUAGAGGCGAGUGGAAUUCUCAGUGUAGCGGUGAAAUGCGUAGAUAUUGGGAAGAACACCGGUGGCGCAGGCGACUCGCUGGGCUGUAACUGACGCUGAGGAACGAAAGCUAGGGGAGCAAAUGGGAUUAGAUACCCCAGUAGUCCUAGCUGUAAACGAUGGAUACUAGGCGUAGCAGGUAUCGACCCCUGCUGUGCCGUANCUAACGCGAUAAGUAUCCCGCCUGAGUAGNACGGCCGC
Molecule: ribosomal RNA, 364 nt
Filed under: uncultured bacterium
Lineage: Bacteria
Description: bacterial SSU rRNA
Rfam family: Bacterial small subunit ribosomal RNA
Source: RNAcentral